CAUGCAGGCGUUUAGACAAGUCAGAUGUGAAAUCCCCGCGCUUAACGUGGGCAUUGCAUUUGAAACUGUUUAGCUAGAGUUCUGUAGAGGGGGGUAGAAUUCCAGGUGUAGCGGUGAAAUGCGUAGAUAUUGGGAAGAACAUCGGUGGCGAAAGCGCCUUGCUGGGUCUGCACUGACACUGAGGGACGAAAGCUAGGGGAGCGAAAGGGAUUAGAUACCCCUGUA
Molecule: ribosomal RNA, 225 nt
Filed under: uncultured Thorsellia sp.
Lineage: Bacteria; Pseudomonadati; Pseudomonadota; Gammaproteobacteria; Enterobacterales; Thorselliaceae
Description: partial 16S ribosomal RNA
Rfam family: Bacterial small subunit ribosomal RNA
Source: RNAcentral